UAAAAACAUGGCUUGUUGAACAUAAUUUCAAGUCUGACCUGCCCUAUGAUGAGAAGUUGAAUGGCCGCGGUAUUUUGACCGUGCAAAGGUAGCAUAAUCAUUAGUUUUUUAAUUGGAAGCUUGAAUGAACGGUUUGAUGAGAAAAUUACUGUCUCUUUUAAGAUUAAUUAGAAUUUUAUUUUUAAGUAAGAAAGCUUAAAUAUGUAUUGAAGACGAGAAGACCCUAUAGAGUUUUAUAGUUUUAUUAAGUAGUUUAAUGUAUUGUUAAAUAUUUUUAGUUUUUGAUAAGAUUAUUUUGUUGGGGUGACAGGAAAAUUAAUUUAACUUUUCUUAUAUUUUUACAUUGUUUUAUGGGUUUUUGAUCCUAGUUUAUAGAUUAAAAGAGUAAAUUACCUUAGGGAUAACAGCGUAAUUUUUUUUAGAGUUCUUAUCAAAAGAAAAGUUUGCGACCUCGAUGUUGGAUUAAAGUUUAUUAUUGGUGUAGAUGCUAAUAUAUUAAGUCUGUUCGACUUUUAAAAUUUUACAUGAUCUGAGUUUAAACCGGUGUGAGCCAGGUCGGU
RNAcentral lists this ribosomal RNA (560 nucleotides) under Trigonopterus sp. 66 AR-2020. Its description in RNAcentral is "partial large subunit ribosomal RNA". It matches the Rfam family "Bacterial large subunit ribosomal RNA", at positions 1808 to 2635 of the family's 2925-position model. The record is from RNAcentral. Lineage: Eukaryota; Metazoa; Arthropoda; Insecta; Coleoptera; Curculionidae.